RNA transcript from Cebus imitator (Panamanian white-faced capuchin), 3115 nucleotides. It is a transcript of the gene named solute carrier family 2, facilitated glucose transporter member 3-like, with no coding region annotated. Lineage: Eukaryota; Metazoa; Chordata; Mammalia; Primates; Cebidae. The record is from RefSeq and is a predicted model, not a curated record. The transcript has 3 exons.
GAAGGACAAGGCAAAUACUCCUCCCUCUGAGAUCUUGUUCGUGUCCCUCUGGUCUCUGUCUGUGGCCAUUUUCUCCAUUGGUGGUAUGAUUGGCUCCUUUUCCAUUAAAUUCUUUGUCAACCACUUUGGUAGGCACAAUUAAAUGCUUAUCAUCAACCUGUUGGUUGUCACUAGAGGCUGCCUUACGGGAUUGUUUAAAGUAGCUGAGUCAGUUGAAAUGCUGAUCCUGGGCCACUUGGUUAUUGGCCUCUUCUGUGGACUCUGCACAGGUUUUGUGCUCAUAUGUAUCUCACCUACUGUGCUGCGGGUGCCUUUGGCACUCUCAACCAGCUAGGCAUUGUUAUCAGAAUUCUGGCAAACCAGAUCUUUAGUCUGGAAUUCAUCCUGGGGUCUGAAGAGCUAUGGCUCAGGCUAUGAGGCUUUACCAUCUUUCCUACUCUCCUACAAAGUGCAGCCCUUCCAUUUUGCCCUGAAAGUCCCACAUUCUUGCUCAUUCAGAGAAAGGAAGAGGAGAAUGCUAAGGAGAUCCUCCUUAGGAUGCAUCCCACGACAUCCAGGAGAUGAAAGAUGAGAGUGCAAGGACGGCACAAGAAAAGCAAGUCACCGUGCUGGAGCUCUUUAGAGUAUCCAGCUACCAACAGCCCAUCAUCAUUUCCAUCGUGCUCAGCUCUCUCAGCAGCUCUCUGGAAUCUGCUGUGUUCUAUUACUCAACAGGAAUCUUCAAGGGUGCAGGUGUUCAAGAGCCCAUCUAUGCCAAUGUCGGUGUGGGUGUGGUUAACACUGUCUUCACUGUAGUUUCCCUAUUUCUGGUGGAAAGGGCAGGAAGAAGGACUCUAGAUAUGACAGACUUUGGAGGGAUGACUUUUUGUUCCAUCCUCACGACUGUUUCGUUGUUAUUAAAGGACGAGUAUAAUGGGAUAAGCUUUGUCUGUAUUGGGGCUAUCUUGGUCUUUGUGGCCUUCUUUGAAAUUGGGCCAGGCCCCAUUCCCUGAUUUAUUGUGGCUGAACUCUUCAACCAGGGCCCUGGUCCAGCUGUGAUGGUAGUGGCCAGCUGCUCCAAUCGGACCUCCAACUUCCUAGCCUUCUGCUGCUUACUGUUUAGGAGUCUAUGUUUUUAUUAUCUUCACCAGCUUCCUCAUUACCUUCUUGAUCUUUAUCGUCUUCAGAGUCUCUGAGACCUGUCACAGGACUUUUGAGGAUAUCGCACAGGACUUUGAAGGGCAGGCACAUUAUGCGAAUAGAUCCAGAAGGACUGCAUCGUGGAGAUGAACAGCAACCAGCCUGCUAAGGAGACCACCACCAAUGUCUAAGUCAUGCCUCCUUCCACCUCCCGCUCAUCAUGGGAAAGCCACCUCUCCCUGAAGGAGGGAGGUACUCAUCAGGAUGAACCCAGGACUGCUUCUGAAUGCUGCUACUCAAUUCCUUUCUCCCACAAGGCUGGGGUUUGUUAGAUUCUCAAUGGCUUUUUAAAUAUUUCAUUUCUUGGACAUUCUCUUUCACUUAGGAGAGACCAAGUGAACCUACCUUCAUUUCAGGAGGGAUUGGCCACUUGGCAUAUGACAACUUUGCCAGCUCUUCCUCUCUUGGAUUCUAAUAUUGCCCCAUUAGGGGAUAUAGGGGAGGAAGGGUAAGGUACAGUUGCCCCAACUUCAGACUUACCAGGAAGCAGAUACACAAGUGUGGAAAGCAGAGGGGGUUUAUGUAAGAGCACCUUCCUCAUUUCCAUACAGCUGUACACAGGAAAUUAACUUGAGUUUUAUUUAUUUUGCCUCCUGGUUUAAUUACAUAUAUUUAUUUUUUUAAGUGUACUUUUGCCAAGCAAUGAAAACAUAAGAAAAUUGGGGUGAAAGGGAGGUGUUUAAAAGACAUCAUAGAGUAGAAGAUUUGAUGCUUGAGCGGUAAGGUGCAAUAAGAAGAAUUUAGGGAGAAAUGCAAUUUGUUAUUGGAGGGUUUAUGAUACGGAGCCUGAGGUCUGCGUGUUGCCUCUUAACAAUUUCUGUCCUUCAGAUGGAAACUCUUAAGUUUAAUUUCUCAGAAAAGUAAUAUGCCUAUAUAAUAAAGCUACCGAUUUCUUUUGAAACUUUUAAAUUUAAGAUUAUAGUUUAUAUGUAGUAUUACUUGAAAUCUAAAAUUGUUAACUAAGAUGGGCAUUGUAGUUAAUCACAGUUGAUGGGCUCUAAUUUUGGAUGGAGUCCAGGGAAGGGAAAGUUAUUUCUAGAAAGCCUGUUCCUUCUUACUGGACCAAAAAACUCCUUCCCCUUGUAGUAGACUCAUUACUUUUUAAGUAAUCCCGCCAUCGCUCUGGUGGGAGAGCCAUCCAAAUGAGAAAUCCAAAAUAAUUAGUUCUUGGUAGAGGUUCAUUAUUUCUCCAUUUUGUUCUUUAGGAGAUUUUAGGUGUUGAUUUUAUUUUAUUUUAACCCAUACCUUUAAAGGAAUUCCAAAAAGAAUGUUUAUGGCUAACUUGGAAUUUGACACCUCAGCUCUGGGAGAGGAUUUUUUUCCUGAACGAUUAUUAUCUAAAGCAUGUUGUUGCUUCAGGGUCACGGCAUGCUUGUCUAUGUCUGUUACCAUGCCACCAUGGUCCUGUGCUGAGUGCCCUUAGGGGACUUGAAUCUUUCCAGUAGGCCAUGUUGGAGACAGUAUGAGUCAAUGUGCAGUGUAGCCCAUACUGCAAGGAUGAAUGUAUGUGCAGUGUCACUUUGCUCUGGGUGGAAGUAGGUUAUUGUUGACUUAUUUUCUCUGUGUUUGUUCCUACAGCCCCUUUUUCGUAUGUUAAUUGAUCUCCUUUUCCCUUCUUGGUGCUUACACAUCUCAGACUCUUUAGCUGAACCCUUGCCAAUAACAGUAUUUUGGUUUUCACUUCUCACUGUUCCUUCUGGUCAUUGAGCCUUUGAAUAAAAAUGCACAUAGCUAUGCAGUGGGGUUUAGCUGGAAAAGGUGACUUUUUUCCAGCUUCACCUCUACUUCUGGCUCCUCAAACAAUGGUUGGGCAGUAAGGCAUGGAAGUUGUUUUCUCGUUUCUCACUGACCAGAUUGUGAAUAUUUCCACAUGAAUUUUCUAUUAUUAAUGUUACUCUGGUUCUUUGUUUUAAAAUAAAAAUUCUGAAUAUACACA